GGCCUUUUGAUUUUAAUUUAAGGUCUGGCCUGCUCAAUGAAAAUUUAAAUAGCCGCAGUAUUUUAACUGUGCAAAGGUAGCAUAAUCAAUAGUUUUUUAAUUGAAAACUGGAAUGAAAGGUUGAAUAAGAAAAAAUCUGUCUCUUUUAAAAAUAUUGAAUUUUAUUUUUAAGUUAAAAAGCUUAAAUUUUUAUUAAAGACGAGAAGACCCUAUAGAGUUUAAUUUUUAUUAUUAAUUGAUUUAAAGAAUUUAAUAUUAAUUUUAUUUAAAAAUUUAAUUGGGGUGAUUGAAAAAUUUAAUUAACUUUUUUUUAUUUUUACAUUAAUUUAUGAUUUAUUGAUCCAUAAAAAUGAUUAUAAGAAAAAAUUACCUUAGGGAUAACAGCGUUAUUUUUUUUAAGAGUUCUAAUCGAAAAAAAAGAUUGCGACCUCGAUGUUGGAUUAAAAUUUAAUUUUGGUGUAGAAGCUAAAAAUUUAAGUCUGUUCGACUUUUAAAAUUUUACA
This 503-nucleotide ribosomal RNA is filed under the name Orthoperus sp. CO961. RNAcentral describes it as "partial 16S ribosomal RNA". The stretch from base 377 to 503 matches the Rfam family "Bacterial large subunit ribosomal RNA", at positions 2473 to 2600 of the family's 2925-position model. Lineage: Eukaryota; Metazoa; Arthropoda; Insecta; Coleoptera; Corylophidae. The record is from RNAcentral.